This 71-nucleotide transfer RNA is filed under the name Loxodonta africana (African savanna elephant). It matches the Rfam family "tRNA". From Rfam's summary of the family: Transfer RNA (tRNA) molecules are approximately 80 nucleotides in length. Their secondary structure includes four short double-helical elements and three loops (D, anti-codon, and T loops). Lineage: Eukaryota; Metazoa; Chordata; Mammalia; Proboscidea; Elephantidae. The record is from Rfam by way of RNAcentral.
GCAAUGAUGGUUCAGUGGUAGAAUUCUCACCUUCCAUGCAGGAGACCCGGGUUCGAUUCCCAGCCAAUGUA